AGUGAACGCUGGCGGUAGGCCUAACACAUGCAAGUCGAACGGCAGCACAGGAGAGCUUGCUCUCUGGGUGGCGAGUGGCGGACGGGUGAGGAAUACAUCGGAAUCUACUCUGUCGUGGGGGAUAACGUAGGGAAACUUACGCUAAUACCGCAUACGACCUACGGGUGAAAGCAGGGGACCUUCGGGCCUUGCGCGAUUGAAUGAGCCGAUGUCGGAUUAGCUAGUUGGCGGGGUAAAGGCCCACCAAGGCGACGAUCCGUAGCUGGUCUGAGAGGAAGAUCAGCCACACUGGAACUGAGACACGGUCCGGACUCCUACGGGAGGCAGCAGUGGGGAGUAUUGGACAAUGGGCGCAAGCCUGAUCCAGCCAUACCGCGUGGGUGAAGAAGGCCUUCGGGUUGUAAAGCCCUUUUGUUGGGAAAGAAAUCCAGCUGGCUAAUACCCGGUUGGGAUGACGGUACCCAAAGAAUAAGCACCGGCUAACUUCGUGCCAGCCGCCGCGGUAA
This 506-nucleotide ribosomal RNA is filed under the name uncultured bacterium. RNAcentral's name for it is "partial 16S ribosomal RNA". It matches the Rfam family "Bacterial small subunit ribosomal RNA", at positions 29 to 523 of the family's 1533-position model. The record is from RNAcentral.